Long non-coding RNA from Pecten maximus, 521 nucleotides. RefSeq lists it as uncharacterized. The record is from RefSeq and is a predicted model, not a curated record. The transcript is spliced from 4 exons. Lineage: Eukaryota; Metazoa; Mollusca; Bivalvia; Pectinida; Pectinidae.
AGGAAGUACUGACCGCCGUGGUGUUACGUACUAUGACCACAUGUUCUUCCGUUACGGGAGUAUAAAUCCCAGCUACUCUCCAGCACAACCAGUUCUGAUCUGAAUUCACAACUCAAGCUACAAGAUGAACAAGUGUCUCGCCCUCAUCCUUAUCCCAUGCCUGGUGGCCUACGUUGUGGCCAUGCAGUACCCGACCGGAUCCGGUUACCCCGGAUACGGAAUGACAGGAGGAUACGGAGGCGGAUACGGUCUGAGUAACUACUACUACAACUACGGAAACCUCCAACAGAAGAAGAGCUCCAACUUCGCUCUCCUGAUCUCUGGUCUCCUGUUGCUGUUCGCCUUCAACAUCACCGGAACUCUGACUGGUUAGACGUAAACCAAGGAGGUGGAGAUCGGCGAGGCACACAUUCAAAUUAUGAUUCGACACGGCGACCAAAAUUUACUGUGAUAUAUUGCGCGAUGUAUUAUGUAGUUGUUACAUUUGUGAAGAUUGUAUUGAUUAAACGUUUAAAUUCUAA